RNAcentral lists this ribosomal RNA (292 nucleotides) under uncultured bacterium. Its description in RNAcentral is "partial 16S ribosomal RNA". It matches the Rfam family "Bacterial small subunit ribosomal RNA", at positions 505 to 796 of the family's 1533-position model. The record is from RNAcentral.
GUGCCAGCGGCCGCGGUAAUACGGAGGGUGCAAGCGAUGUCCGGAAUCACUGGGUGUAAAGGGUGUGCAGGCGGGGCAGCAAGUCGGAGGUGAAAGUCCAUGGCUUAACCAUGGAAGUGCCUUCGAAACUGUUGCUCUUGAGUCCCGGAGAGGUUGCCUGAAUUCGUGGUGUAGCGGUGAAAUGCGUAGAUAUCACGAGGAACACCAGAGGCGAAAGCGGGCAACUGGACGGGUACUGACGCUCAGGCACGAAAGCGCGGGGAGCAAACAGGAUUAGAAACCCUGGUAGUCC